Molecule: ribosomal RNA, 266 nt
Filed under: uncultured bacterium
Lineage: Bacteria
Description: partial 16S ribosomal RNA
Rfam family: Bacterial small subunit ribosomal RNA
Source: RNAcentral
GUCCUAGCCGUAAACGGUGCACGUUUGCUGUAAAAGGAAUCGACCCCUUUGUGGCGAAGCUAACGCGUUAAACGUGCCGCCUGGGAAGUACGGUCGCAAGAUUAAAACUCAAAGAAAUUGACGGGGGCCUGCACAAGCGGUGGAGUAUGUGGCUUAAUUCGAUGCAACGCGAAGAACCUUACCUGGCCUUGACAUGUAUCUAGUAGAAGGGUGAAAGCCUGACGAGGUAGCAAUACCAGGAUACACAGGUGCUGCAUGGCUGUCGU